GACGAACGCUUGCGGCGUGCUUAACACAUGCAAGUCGAACGGAAAGGCCCUGCUUUUGUGGGGUGCUCGAGUGGCGAACGGGUGAGUAACACGUGAGUAACCUGCCCUUGACUUUGGGAUAACUUCAGGAAACUGGGGCUAAUACCGGAUAGGAGCUCCUGCUGCAUGGUGGGGGUUGGAAAGUUUCGGCGGUUGGGGAUGGACUCGCGGCUUAUCAGCUUGUUGGUGGGGUAGUGGCUUACCAAGGCUUUGACGGGUAGCCGGCCUGAGAGGGUGACCGGCCACAUUGGGACUGAGAUACGGCCCAGACUCCUACGGGAGGCAGCAGUGGGGAAUAUUGCACAAUGGGCGGAAGCCUGAUGCAGCAACGCCGCGUGCGGGAUGACGGCCUUCGGGUUGUAAACCGCUUUCGCCUGUGACGAAGCGUGAGUGACGGUAAUGGGUAAAGAAGCACCGGCUAACUACGUGCCAGCAGCCGCGGUGAUACGUAGGGUGCGAGCGUUGUCCGGAUUUAUUGGGCGUAAAGGGCUCGUAGGUGGUUGAUCGCGUCGGAAGUGUAAUCUUGGGGCUUAACCCUGAGCGUGCUUUCGAUACGGGUUGACUUGAGGAAGGUAGGGGAGAAUGGAAUUCCUGGUGGAGCGGUGGAAUGCGCAGAUAUCAGGAGGAACACCAGUGGCGAAGGCGGUUCUCUGGGCCUUUCCUGACGCUGAGGAGCGAAAGCGUGGGGAGCGAACAGGCUUAGAUACCCUGGUAGUCCACGCUGUAAACGGUGGGUACUAGGUGUGGGGUCCAUUCCACGGGUUCCGUGCCGUAGCUAACGCUUUAAGUACCCCGCCUGGGGAGUACGGCCGCAAGGCUAAAACUCAAAGGAAUUGACGGGGCCCCGCACAAGCGGCGGAGCAUGCGGAUUAAUUCGAUGCAACGCGUAGAACCUUACCUGGGUUUGACAUGGAUCGGGAGUGCUCAGAGAUGGGUGUGCCUCUUUUGGGGUCGGUUCACAGGUGGUGCAUGGCUGUCGUCAGCUCGUGUCGUGAGAUGUUGGGUUAAGUCCCGCAACGAGCGCAACCCUUGUUCACUGUUGCCAGCACGUUAUGGUGGGGACUCAGUGGAGACCGCCGGGGUCAACUCGGAGGAAGGUGGGGAUGACGUCAAGUCAUCAUGCCCCUUAUGUCCAGGGCUUCACGCAUGCUACAAUGGCUGGUACAGAGAGUGGCGAGCCUGUGAGGGUGAGCGAAUCUCGGAAAGCCGGUCUCAGUUCGGAUUGGGGUCUGCAACUCGACCUCAUGAAGUCGGAGUCGCUAGUAAUCGCAGAUCAGCAACGCUGCGGCGAAUACGUUCCCGGG
Molecule: ribosomal RNA, 1343 nt
Filed under: uncultured bacterium
Lineage: Bacteria
Description: 16S ribosomal RNA
Rfam family: Bacterial small subunit ribosomal RNA
Source: RNAcentral